GAGCUAGGGGGUGCGGGUGUUUGUGUUGGAAAAUCCAACUGCGCCACGGGGCGGAGCGGCCCCCCCAGCCCCGACCAGGGAGACGGGGGGGCCGCUCGACCCCCAGGAGACUUUGGGGAGCCUGAACACCUGGGACCCUCCCACAAGCAGGUUUCCCCCCCCCAGGCACCAUGCUGGGCCUGUAGCAAUAUCUACCCCACUGAGGUCAGCUGCACCCCCACUGCUGGGGUGCAGGUUCCAAUGAGAGGGCACACCAAGCUCCAUCGGGUAAGAAGCGUGCCUUUAGCACCUGGCUUCCUCCAAGCGAAAUGAGGACAGGAGGGGAGCGGGCUGCUGUGGGGGCCCUGAACUGGCCUUGUGCAGCCGACCGUCUGCCUGCUCGGUAAAACCUCAUCAGCGGGGUCUGGUCUUUGGCGGUCCUGAGAGUUUGUGAGUGCACGGCUGGCCUCUUAGACGCGUCUCGCGUGGCUGGGGCACUGCGCGGAGGGGGUCCUCGGCCUCAAGCCCAGAGAGAGUUAAGUGGGUAUGAUUGAUGGAGUGGUUUUCUCAAGGGGCUCAAGAGGGAGGGGGUAGGUUAAAGUCCGCGAGUCUAAAGCCCGGAUGGAGGGGGCGGG
This 614-nucleotide long non-coding RNA is filed under the name Heterocephalus glaber (naked mole-rat). RNAcentral's name for it is "lncRNA (ENSHGLG00000043884.1)". Lineage: Eukaryota; Metazoa; Chordata; Mammalia; Rodentia; Bathyergidae. The record is from RNAcentral.